This is a long non-coding RNA of Chenopodium quinoa (quinoa), 2358 nucleotides long. RefSeq lists it as uncharacterized. The record is from RefSeq and is a predicted model, not a curated record. The transcript has 4 exons. Lineage: Eukaryota; Viridiplantae; Streptophyta; Magnoliopsida; Caryophyllales; Amaranthaceae.
UGGUAUUUGCGGGCGAUGUUUAACAAAUCCCCUUCUUAAUCUACCGAAUUUCUUCGCAACCUAGGGUUUGUCGUUGAUUUGGUUUUCAAUUUUGUAAUUUUAGGGUUCUGGUUUUAUUUCUAUUUUUUGUCAAACAAAAUAAGUAGGAGAAGGAGAUAGUAGGUCCUACCCGUCGCCCCUCACCCUUCGCCGGCCACCCUCCGUUCCCCUCAGCUGUCCUUCGUGCGUCGGCUACCGACCACCAGGGUGGAAUUUCUCUUUCUUCAACAAGAUUUCAUUGCAAAAAAUGGAGUCUGGGAAUUAUAAAUCAUGGGAAGAAGAAAUUUACUGGAAGAAUUUUCAUUUUGCUCGUUUCUCUCUCAUUUUACCCAAUAAUUUUCAUCAUCGUCUCGUUCUUUCCAGUGACUCAUGUUCAACUUUCAAUCCCUGGCAACUCAAGACACCAGAUUGGUAGAAUGCUUGUUGUUGAUGCCUUGUAUGACUUACAACACUCUGGAGUUUAUGACAUCAUUGGAAAACAUGAAGAUUCAGCAACUUGCAUUGAGUAUUUUCCAGAAACAGGUGAGUAGUAUUUGGUAGAGCAAUUGAUGUGAUAAAAAUUAGUUUAGGAGGCAAAUGCUUUGUGGUAUGGUUUUAUGAUAAUUUAGGCGUUAUGUGUUAAGUCAGUAGAACCAAAAAGUUUUCAUAAUUCCUGUCUUGGUUUGUAAUAGUUAAAUUUUGUACUUGUCACGGCUAGUGUAAAUAUAUACUCCGUACCUACACAAAUGGAUGCCAAGAGAAUAUCUUAUAAAUAAACCUGAUGAUUGAGAGUAUCACAUUUGUAUGCCAAAGGAUAUUUGUAACAUUGAUGAUAAAAAGUAGUCCGGUCCAAACAUCCUUUUCAACUGAAAAAAUAGGAAGCCUGACGUAUGAUUGGGUGAAAAGAUUGAUGCUAUUUGUUCAAGAUUAAAAGAACCCAAUGCCUUAUGUCCCACCAUUCUACUACUAGUAUAAAUUGUUUGGUUUAUGACUAAUUAAUUAUGUAUGUAUGUAACAAGCAAAGUUCGAUUUCAUAGUUUGGUUAGAAAUGGAUAAUCUGCAUCCUGAGGCUCAAAAUGCGCUAAGCUAGCUGUUAAAGCAUGAUCGAUUUUAUGCUGUUUCUAAGCCUCUAGAUGCAGAUGAUCUGUUUCUUGCCAGGGCUCUAUUAUUUCACUUAGCUUGCUCGUCUUAUGUUUACUUUCUGGUAUAUACGAGUGAUCAUGAGUCUGUUUGAGGUUUAUAUGCUUGUUUCGAUAUAUAUAUAUAACACGUUGUUUUCAGCAUGAUCACAAGUCCUGGAGGUUUCUUAGCUUGCCAAGACUGAGGUCAUUAUGAUCAAGAGUCUUUAAGGUAUAUGCUUCUUUCAGCUAUGUUAUUUUACGAAGGCCUAAAAUAAAUAGAAUUCUGUAAUAUUAUUCUAGAUUGAAUUGUGUAAUAAGUAUUCAAAUGCAAUAUUGUUUUAACUUAUAGUUUUACACCAAUGAUAUCUUUUGUUCUUCAUAUUGUCCUGUCUUGGAUAAAGUUAUCAGAUUAUGUAUAAUUUUAUAAUAACCACAUUAAAGUGAGCAGCUUAAUAUAUAGAAAACUUCCUGUAAAUCUAAAAUCAUGCUCUUUACAACAUCUCUGCUUCUCUUAAAUGGUAUGAAUAUUGGAUCACUUAGGUCUGUAGUGCCAAUUGAUUUAUGAAUGACACCUCAUUCUAGCUUAUUACAAACUCUUUCCCUUGUCAAAUUAUUGCCUAUAAGCUCAUCAACAACUCUCUUCCCUACCCUAACCCUUUCCUUCUCAAGCUCAACAAUUCUCCCCCUUUCCUUUGCUAAACAGUUUGAUAGAAAAACUAUGGUAAGCAGUUUCAUUGGAGUCGGUCAAGUUGAUGCAAUGUUGAUAUUAAGCAGUAGCAGUAGCAGUAGCAGAAGCAGAAGCAGAAUAGCAAUAGCAGAACAGCAAGCAGAACACAAAGUAGCAGAAGCAGAAGCAGUAGCAGAAUAGUAGUAGCAGAAGCAGAACAACAGUAGCAGUAGCAGAAGCAGAACAGUAGUAGUUCUGAUAUCCUGGCUGUGAUAGUUCUUGGAGUUAUCGGAGGUGUUCUGGGCAGCUUUUAUAAUUAUCUUAUUGACAUGCACUAUCGUUGACAACGUUGUUUAAUCCCUUAUUUUGAUUAUGCUUGUGAAUGUAACAUCACCAGGCCAGCAAAACAGCAGCAACAGCCAUCACCACGCAGGCACAGCACCAGGCCUUCUCAUAUGGUCUGCCAUCAACGAAUUUAUAUGUUGUUUUUUUUUCAAUUUUGUAAAGUGUAAUAUUACAAGUUAUUGAACAAAAUAUAUGUGUUUAUGUAUA